RNAcentral lists this ribosomal RNA (333 nucleotides) under uncultured bacterium. Its description in RNAcentral is "bacterial SSU rRNA". It matches the Rfam family "Bacterial small subunit ribosomal RNA", at positions 568 to 898 of the family's 1533-position model. The record is from RNAcentral.
CGCGUAGGUGGUUGGGUAGGUUGGUGGUGAAAGGUUGGGGCUUAACCCCAAUAGGUCCACCAAGACCGCUCGACUGCGAGGGUAGUAGAGGAAGGUGGAAUUCCGGGUGUAGUGGUGAAAUGCGUAGAUAUCCGGAGGAACACCGGUGGCGAAGGCGGCCUUCUGGGCUAUCCCUGACACUGAGGCGCGAAAGCGUGGGGAGCGAACUGAAUUAGAUACUCAGGUAGUCCACGCCCUCAACGAUGGACACUAGGUGUGGGGGGUAUCGACCCCUCCCGUGCCGGAGCUAACGCAGUAAGUGUCCCGCCUGGGGAGUACGGCCGCAAGGCUAAA